GUGCACGCUGGCGGUAGGCCUCACACCUGCCAGUCGCACGGCAGCACAGUAAGAGCUUGCUCUUACGGGUGGCGAGUGGCGGACGGGUGAGGAAUACAUCGGAAUCUACUUUUUCGUGGGGGAUAACGUAGGGAAACUUACGCUAACACCGCAUACGACCUACGGGUGAAAGCAGGGGAUCUUCGGACCUUGCGCGAUUGAAUGAGCCGAUGUCGGAUUAGCUAGUUGGCGGGGUAAAGGCCCACCAAGGCGACGAUCCGUAGCUGGUCUGAGAGGAUGAUCAGCCACACUGGAACUGAGACACGGUCCAGACUCCUACGGGAGGCAGCAGUGGGGAAUAUUGGACAAUGGGCGCAAGCCUGAUCCAGCCAUACCGCGUGGGUGAAGAAGGCCUUCGGGUUGUAAAGCCCUUUUGUUGGGAAAGAAAAGCAGCAGGUUAAUACCCCGCUGUUCUGACGGUACCCAAAGAAUAAGCACCGGCUAACUUCGUG
Molecule: ribosomal RNA, 491 nt
Filed under: uncultured bacterium
Lineage: Bacteria
Description: partial 16S ribosomal RNA
Rfam family: Bacterial small subunit ribosomal RNA
Source: RNAcentral